This 62-nucleotide transfer RNA is filed under the name Porphyromonadaceae bacterium. RNAcentral's name for it is "tRNA-Phe(gaa)". It matches the Rfam family "tRNA", at positions 6 to 65 of the family's 71-position model. From Rfam's summary of the family: Transfer RNA (tRNA) molecules are approximately 80 nucleotides in length. Their secondary structure includes four short double-helical elements and three loops (D, anti-codon, and T loops). Further hydrogen bonds mediate the characteristic L-shaped molecular structure. tRNAs have two regions of fundamental functional importance: the anti-codon, which is responsible for specific mRNA codon recognition, and the 3' end, to which the tRNAs corresponding amino acid is attached (by aminoacyl-tRNA synthetases). tRNAs cope with the degeneracy of the genetic code in two manners: having more than one tRNA (with a specific anti-codon) for a particular amino acid; and 'wobble' base-pairing, i.e. permitting non-standard base-pairing at the 3rd anti-codon position. Lineage: Bacteria; Pseudomonadati; Bacteroidota; Bacteroidia; Bacteroidales; Porphyromonadaceae. The record is from RNAcentral. RNAcentral also lists the same sequence under 2 other names.
CAUAGCUCAGUUGGUAGAGCAAAGGACUGAAAAUCCUUGUGUCCCCGGUUCGAUUCCUGGUG